This 471-nucleotide ribosomal RNA is filed under the name uncultured bacterium. RNAcentral describes it as "bacterial SSU rRNA". It matches the Rfam family "Bacterial small subunit ribosomal RNA", at positions 335 to 800 of the family's 1533-position model. The record is from RNAcentral.
ACUCCUACGGGAGGCAGCAGUGAGGAAUAUUGGUCAAUGGAGGGAACUCUGAACCAGCCAUCCCGCGUGUAGGAAGACGGCCUUAUGGGUUGUAAACUACUUUUAUACAGGAAGAAACGUACCCUCGUGAGGGUGCCUGACGGUACUGUAGGAAUAAGCACCGGCUAACUCCGUGCCAGCAGCCGCGGUAAUACGGAGGGGUGCGAGCGUUAUCCGGAUUUAUUGGGGUUUAAAGGGUCCGUAGGCGGAUUAAUAAAGUCAGUGGUGAAAUCCCAUCGCUUAACGAUGGAACUGCCAUUGAUACUGUUAGUCUUGAAUGAGGGUGCAGUGGUUGGAAUGUGUAGUGUAGCGGUGAAAUGCAUAGAUAUUACACAGAACACCGAUUGCGAAGGCAGAUCACUAACCCUAAAUUGACGCUGAGGGACGAAAGCGUGGGGAGCGAACAGGAUUAGAUACCCUGGUAGGUCAGUC